This 253-nucleotide ribosomal RNA is filed under the name uncultured bacterium. RNAcentral describes it as "partial 16S ribosomal RNA". It matches the Rfam family "Bacterial small subunit ribosomal RNA", at positions 524 to 776 of the family's 1533-position model. The record is from RNAcentral.
UACGUAGGGGGCUAGCGUUGUCCGGAAUCAUUGGGCGUAAAGCGCGCGUAGGCGGCCCGGUAAGUCCGCUGUAAAAGUCCAGGGUUCAACCCUGGAACGCCGGUGGAUACUGUCGGGCUAGAGUCCGGAAGAGGCGAGUGGAAUUCCUGGUGUAGCGGUGAAAUGCGCAGAUAUCAGGAAGAACACCCGUGGCGAAGGCGGUUCUCUGGGACGGUACUGACGCUGAGACGCGAAAGCGUGGGGAGCAAACAGG